This 458-nucleotide ribosomal RNA is filed under the name uncultured bacterium. RNAcentral's name for it is "bacterial SSU rRNA". It matches the Rfam family "Bacterial small subunit ribosomal RNA", at positions 28 to 499 of the family's 1533-position model. The record is from RNAcentral.
GACGAACGCUGGCGGCGCGCCUAACACAUGCAAGUCGAACGAGAGAUGAGGAGCUUGCUCUUCAAAUCGAGUGGCGAACGGGUGAGUAACGCGUGAGGAACCUGCCUCAAAGAGGGGGACAACAGUUGGAAACGACUGCUAAUACCGCAUAAGCCCACGGCUCGGCAUCGAGCAGGGGGAAAAGGAGCAAUCCGCUUUGAGAUGGCCUCGCGUCCGAUUAGCUAGUUGGUGAGGUAACGGCCCACCAAGGCGACGAUCGGUAGCCGGACUGAGAGGUUGAACGGCCACAUUGGGACUGAGACACGGCCCAGACUCCUACGGGAGGCAGCAGUGGGGAAUAUUGCACAAUGGGGGAAACCCUGAUGCAGCGACGCCGCGUGGAGGAAGAAGGUCUUCGGAUUGUAAACUCCUGUUGUUGAGGAAGAUAAUGACGGUACUCAACAAGGAAGUGACGGCUA